AUAGAGAAAUAAUAAGGUACACUUGAACAUGGAGAGAUAAGAAAACGGGAGUAUUAUAUUCAAGUUUCAUUUCAUUCCUUUCCCACUUUUAUCAUAUAAUUUCUUGGGUAACCUCUUCUCUGAAAACCUCAACAAUUUUGUGAUCAAAUAUAACCCGUUGUAUUCUUAUUAGUUGAGUAACUACCUGCCCCACAUUUACCCUUUGAUUUCCAUUAGAGGCCAGGCUGACUUUAUUAUCAAUAAAUCACAAAAAACCAUUACCGGUUAUGCAUACCUCACUCUUAUUUCCUUUCACUCUAAUACACCUCCUCUUUUAAUAUGAUUUAAGUCCCUUAAAUUCAAUUGAUUGCCUUGAUUCCAUACUAUGACUUGAAUAGAAAAAUCAACCUUCUCAUUUUGGGUACAAGCACGUCCUCUCUUUCCUUCAACCAUUAUGAUCAUCAUACUCAUACCACCAUCUUUGUCAUAAAUCCUUAUGUGAAAGGCAAGAGCGUACCUUAUUCUUCUUUGUGUCAUUUCAAUGAAGGCCCUAAUUGAAAGCUAAUUUUCAUAUAGUUACUUCAUUCCUUCCGAGACUCAAAACCAACCUCUUCAUUUAGUUUCAUUUUCGUGGAACACCUAGAGCUCUGAGUCCAAAUCCCUUUGCGAAUUUUCUUGUGGAUCUUUAGAGUCUAUGCUAGAUUUCGUACGAUUAGGAAGGGAAGCUUACAAGUAAGGGCUUUUUUCCCAUAGGUUCUUAUUAAAUGUUAGGACUGUGUUAUUAAAUAGUGGUAGCAAUUCUUGUCUCUUGAAAAGAAAAAUAAUUAAAAUAUUUUCUUACGUGGUAAAAUCUAAUAUUUUCUUAGUGGUAAAAUCUAAUAUUUUAUAAAAGUGAUUAUUUUAAUUGAGUUUUAUAUGAUAGUUGUGUAUGAUGUGAUGUGGAAUGUUAAUUGUAUUUUAUUUUAUUAUGUUUAUAUGUUUUUGUGAUGCUGAGAAGGACAUGUUAGAUUUUGAUUAAUUAAGGAAAAUGAAAAGAGAUGAAAAUGUGAGUCUUAUUGAAAAGAUUGUUUUGAUCAUGUUCAUGGUGAUGUGAGAUAUAUAAUUAUUUUCUGUGUGGUGCCUUUGUGGCGGGUAAAUAUCAUAUUGCAUUGUUGUGCUGUGGCGGGUUACUAUUAUAUUCUGUGUGGUGUCUUAGUGGCGGGUUACUAUUAUAUUCUGUGUGGUGCCUUAGUGGCGGGUUACUAUUAUAUUCUGUGUGGUGCCUUAGUGGCGGGUUAAUAUCAUAUUGCAUUUAUUUUCAUGAUCAUGCAUGGCAUAUGCAUCUGUGUGGUGUCUGUGUGGCGGGUUAUAUCCGGAUCAUAUAGUUAUAAGAGCAUGCAUCUUACGCAUAAGUGCAUUGAGUCUGUUGUAUAUAUGUGAUUGAUUAUGGACUUAAAACUAUUUUAUUGUAAAUAAGAUGUGUGUGAACCUUACUUUAAUUUGAAGCACAUGACUUGAAGGUAUUUUUAUUAAUUCUUGUUGAUUGAUAAGUUUUGAUAUUAUCUAAUAUAUGACAUAGUUUCUGGUGCUUUGAGUAUGAACCAAUUUGGAUAAGGAAAUUGACCCUUACACUAACAUUUUAGGUACCAAAGAAGAGAUGGUCUAUGCUUUGAAGUUUUUGCUUGAAGUGCAUACGGGGGGACAAAAUUGGGUUUUUGAUUGAAUUGUAACUUUAGUAGAAAUUUUUGAAGGAUAUUAGUUUGAGUUUUAAUUAAAUUAUG
RNAcentral lists this long non-coding RNA (1739 nucleotides) under Medicago truncatula (barrel medic). RNAcentral's name for it is "long non-coding RNA (MTRU_LNC002828)". The record is from RNAcentral. Lineage: Eukaryota; Viridiplantae; Streptophyta; Magnoliopsida; Fabales; Fabaceae.